RNAcentral lists this transfer RNA (76 nucleotides) under Salmonella enterica subsp. enterica serovar Paratyphi A. RNAcentral's name for it is "tRNA-Phe". It matches the Rfam family "tRNA". Rfam says of the family: Transfer RNA (tRNA) molecules are approximately 80 nucleotides in length. Their secondary structure includes four short double-helical elements and three loops (D, anti-codon, and T loops). RNAcentral also lists the same sequence under 1 other name. The record is from RNAcentral. Lineage: Bacteria; Pseudomonadati; Pseudomonadota; Gammaproteobacteria; Enterobacterales; Enterobacteriaceae.
GCCCGAUUAGCUCAGUUGGUAGAGCAACGGAUUGAAAAUCCGUGUGUCCUUGGUUCGAAUCCGAGAUCGGGCACCA